Long non-coding RNA from Mastomys coucha (southern multimammate mouse), 569 nucleotides. RefSeq lists it as uncharacterized. The record is from RefSeq and is a predicted model, not a curated record. The transcript has 3 exons. Lineage: Eukaryota; Metazoa; Chordata; Mammalia; Rodentia; Muridae.
CCAGGCCUCUCCGGUCACCGACUUACUAUUGGCAGAGAGCAUGCCGGGAAACGUAGUCUGUCCGGGAGACCCUAGAGCCUUGCGUGCCGGGGAACGCAGUCCAGUGUAAAGUUAGGUUCCAUGAAGAGACAGUGAAAGCAGAGGGGGAUGCUGCUUGCUCCUGCUUUCAGUUCUUAUGUACCCUUAAAAACGGAAAAGUGUGCCUGAGAACCCGAUGUGUACUUUACCUCUAGGAUAUGGAAAUAUGCACAGUUCGAACGUGCACUGCUAAAGAACAAGAAAAGCCCUCAAACUAGAAGUAGAGAUAGCUCCUAAAGAGCAAUAAAGUAAAAAUGAACCAUAGAAAAAAGAAAAGUCCAAACAAAGCUGCCACUCACAGCAGUCCUAUACAGCAGAUAUAAAAAGCUACAAGCAGUGUCCUUGAAAGAGUGUGAUGGACAAAGGCGGAUAAACAUGAAAAGCGCACAAGGCCUGCAACGUUCGGAUGAGUUUAAUUCAGCCCAGUAGCAGGUGCUGAGGGUUAUGGAGAAGCAUAAAACCUGGUCUAAAUAAAGGCAUGUUUGCUAGGG